This 19-nucleotide unclassified non-coding RNA is filed under the name Mus musculus (house mouse). Its description in RNAcentral is "oocyte_clustered_small_RNA10414". The record is from RNAcentral. Lineage: Eukaryota; Metazoa; Chordata; Mammalia; Rodentia; Muridae.
UUGCCACGCGCCGGACGGA